CAUUAGUCACAAAGUUAUCCUAAGGCACUUACAAUUUAAGUGGAGAACUAAAACUAACACAUGGAACAAUCAAAGGACAAUACAUCCUAGCACAUAAUUAGGUUCUAAAUUCCUUGUUACAGAUGAAAUUAUGAGGGCAGCAGGGAGGAACAGCAGCGUGAGCCGGAGGAAUCAGGGAAGACUUCUACGAGAUAUGAGACUUGGGCUGGCCCCUGGAAGGACAACAGGGAAGAGCAAUAAUCUCUAUAAAGACAAGGGCAGAGAUGAGUCUGUUCAUGGCCUUGGAAGGUGGUAUUUUACAACAGGCAUAUGGUGCUGGCUUCGAUCAGAGAUCAUUUCCACUUGUGUGCCGCUUCUCAUGAUAAAUAAGAAACCCAUCAGAGAAGUAUCCUCGUGGGAAAACAGCCCAAUGCAAACCCUUGAUGGAUUACAUAAGAAUGGCUCUCCAUGAAAAUAAGUUCACCACAAAAUUUGAGCUAUCGUUAUAACAUCCUGAUUAUCUCAGAAUAAUAACUGUUUGGAGCCAUUGUGAUAUUCAUAAAGUAUCAGAGCUUUAACAAAAUGAAAACAUGCCAGAGAAUAAAUACCCUUCACAUUGUAUGGAACUACUCGAUUUGAAUAAAAUAAACCUUAAUUAAG
RNAcentral lists this long non-coding RNA (639 nucleotides) under Equus asinus (donkey). RNAcentral describes it as "lncRNA (ENSEASG00005032407.1)". The record is from RNAcentral. Lineage: Eukaryota; Metazoa; Chordata; Mammalia; Perissodactyla; Equidae.